This 920-nucleotide long non-coding RNA is filed under the name Malus domestica (apple). RNAcentral's name for it is "long non-coding RNA (MDOM_LNC018592)". The record is from RNAcentral. Lineage: Eukaryota; Viridiplantae; Streptophyta; Magnoliopsida; Rosales; Rosaceae.
AAAUUGAAGAUCGAAUUCAAUCAUUGUAUUCAUAUAGGGUCAAGGAGUGUAGGUAAAAAAAUCAUCAAAAUCGGAGUUAAAAUGACCGUUAAAUCGUGAUUUUUCUUUUUAUAACCGUCGAAAAGUUUUGUCCCGUUACUUGAAUCUCUGAAUGUUUGUUUUUUGCAAUUUUUGGCGUAUGCGAUCUCGAAGUAUAUACAAACAUGUUUGACGGUUGGAUCAUUGAAACUAGUUUCGUAGAAUGAGUAUCCAUCAAAACAAUAGAUUCACUAAUACUUAAGAGUUUAUUCAUACUUUUAUUAAGUAUAACAUAAGAUUUUUUUGGUAUCCACUAGUGUAAAUAUUUUAAAUUGAAGAUCGAAUUCAAUCAUUGUAUUCAUAUAGGGUCAAGGAGUGUAGUUGUAAAAAAUCAUCAAAAUCGGAGUUAAAAAUGACCGUUAAAUCGUGAUUUUUUCGUUUAUAACCGUCGAAAAGUUUUGUCCCGUUACUUGAUCUCUGAAUGUUUGUUUUUUGCAAUUUUUGGCGUAUGCGAUCUCGAAGUAUAUACAAACAUGUUUUGACGGUUGGAUCAUUGAAACUAGUUUCGUAGAAUGAGUAUCCCAUCAAAACAAUAGAUUCACUAAUACUUAAUAGUUUAUUCAUACUUUUAUUAAGUAUAACAUAAGAUUUUGUGGUAUCCACUAGUGUAAAUAUUUUAAAUUGAAGAUCGAAUUCAAUCAUUGUAUUCAUAUAGGGUCAAGGAGUGUAGCUGCAAAAAAUCAUCAAAAUCGGAGUUAAAAUGACCGUUAAAUCGUGAUUUUUCGUUUUUUAUAACCGUCGAAAAGUUUUGUCCCGUUACUUGAUCUCUGAAUGUUUGUUUUUUGUAAUUUUUGACGUAUGCGAUCUCGAAGUAUAUACAAACAUGUUUGACGGUUGGAUCA